UCGAAAUUAAGAUGUUUUGAAGAAUAUUUUAUUUUUUUUACAAUAGCUGCAAGGCUAUUUUAGCGAUAAACGAAGAUAUAAUCAUAAUCAAUAACAUUAUAUACGAGGACUCAGAAGGUCUAAUUCGAUGAACUUCUUUGAGCACCCACCGCUGGAUCAAAUAUGACUUUUAUCUGGGCCCACAAAGAGCAGCAAAAUUUCGAGUAAACCCAGCCUGUGAACCCCAACUUAAGCGGUCCAAUCUCACAAACUUCUUUUCCCGGUUCCGUCUGACGCCUCCGAAAGCCGCGCCAAAAGCCGGGCCAAAAGACACGGAGACGGAGACGCAAAGGCUGCCGACCAAUCAAAGGAUGCCGCCUACGUCGCUGGCUGAGAAGUCUAAUGGUUUUGCUUGAGUUAGGUGUUGUGCCGCUGCUGCGAGUGUGUGUGUGUGUGUGCGAGUGUGUGUUGCACAUGGGGGUGAAAUAACACAUACCUGCGUGUGUGUGCGCCAAAUUAAAUAUGUACUGGAAAACAAUAAUGAGGCAAAUCUCGCGACUUGUGCUUAUGUACAUAUUUAUUUAUACGACGCUCUAAGGAGGAAGCCAAGAACGCUGGUAAGCACUUUUAUGACGUGAGAAUAAAGUAAAA
Long non-coding RNA from Drosophila elegans, 630 nucleotides. RefSeq lists it as uncharacterized. The transcript is spliced from 3 exons. The record is from RefSeq and is a predicted model, not a curated record. Lineage: Eukaryota; Metazoa; Arthropoda; Insecta; Diptera; Drosophilidae.